UUUCACUUGCAACGAGCAACCCAUGAUGAGU
RNAcentral lists this non-coding RNA (31 nucleotides) under Homo sapiens (human). The record is from RNAcentral. Lineage: Eukaryota; Metazoa; Chordata; Mammalia; Primates; Hominidae.